Molecule: long non-coding RNA, 1002 nt
Filed under: Calidris pygmaea (Spoon-billed sandpiper)
Lineage: Eukaryota; Metazoa; Chordata; Aves; Charadriiformes; Scolopacidae
Description: lncRNA (ENSCPGG00000004542.1)
Source: RNAcentral
AUGGUGGUGACAGGGGCUGCGGUGACAGGGGGCUGCGGUGGCGGCUCCCUGCCCUGCCCAUCUGGGGAAACUGAGGCAACCGCUGGCUGUGUCCUGUCCCCUGCGUUGUCCCCCGGUGGGGGGGGCUUCUGUCAGGGCUGUGGGUUGUGUCCCUUGUGCCCUGUCCCUGCUGUGUCAUGGCUGUGGCAUGUUCGUGUCCCUGUGUGUGACCCGUGUCCCUGUGUGCCAUUGCCAUGUCCCAAGGCUGUCUCAUGCAUGUGUGCCAUGGUUACGUGUGACACCUGUAUCUGUGUGCCAGGGCUGUGUGUCACACACAUGUCCGUGUGCCAGGGCUGCUGUCACAUCUGUGUCUGUGUGCCAUGGCUACAUGUCACACAUGUCCGUGUGCCAUGGCUACAUGCCACAGCUGUGUCCAUGUGCUAUGUCUGUGUGCCAUGGCUACGUGUGACACCCGUGUCCGUGUGCUGGGGCUGCUGUCACACCUGUGUCCAUGUGCCAUGGCUGUGUGUCACAUCCAUGUCCGUGUGCUGCAUCCGUGUAUCACAUCUGUGUCCGUGUGCCAUGGCUACAUGUCACACCCGUGUCCAUGUGCUGUGCCCAUGUGCUGGGGCUGCUGUCACAUCCGUGUCCGUGUGCCAUAGCUGCGUGUCACAUCCAUGUGCCGUUGCCGUGUGCCACAUGCCGUGGCUGUGUCUGUCCUGUGGCUUUGUGCAGUGUCCCUGUGCCAUGCCCUGUGUGCUGUGGCUCCAUGUCACACCCAUGCCCGUGUCCCUUGCCUGUGUGGCAUUGACAUGUGCCACAUACUGUGUCCCAUGGCCACAUGCCAUGUCCCUGUGUCCCAUCCCUGUCCCUCAUGUGUGCCCUGUGCCUGCACCCCAUCUCUUCAGUAUGGGCUGGGGGGCUCUGCCAAGGGAUGGUUACAAGGUGCUGGCACGUGUCCCCAGGGCCCGGGGCUGGUGGCGGGGGGGCUGGUGGGGUCCUGCCUUGCCCGUGGGUCGGUGA